Molecule: transfer RNA, 72 nt
Filed under: Camelus ferus (Wild Bactrian camel)
Lineage: Eukaryota; Metazoa; Chordata; Mammalia; Artiodactyla; Camelidae
Rfam family: tRNA
About the family: Transfer RNA (tRNA) molecules are approximately 80 nucleotides in length. Their secondary structure includes four short double-helical elements and three loops (D, anti-codon, and T loops).
Source: Rfam by way of RNAcentral
GAGGGUGUAGCUCAGUGGUAGAGUGCAUGCCUAGCAUGCAUGAGGUCCUCUGUUCAAUCCCCAGUACCUCCU